This 368-nucleotide non-coding RNA is filed under the name Ixodes scapularis (black-legged tick). RNAcentral's name for it is "Eukaryotic small subunit ribosomal RNA". It matches the Rfam family "Eukaryotic small subunit ribosomal RNA", at positions 1190 to 1608 of the family's 1831-position model. The record is from Rfam by way of RNAcentral. Lineage: Eukaryota; Metazoa; Arthropoda; Arachnida; Ixodida; Ixodidae.
GUAGUGGGCGCAUUCACGAUAGUGUAUCGGAUUUUGAAUUUCUAAGAGGAUUGACAGAUUGAGAGCUCGUUCUUGAUUCGGUGGAUGGUGGUGCAUGUCCGUUUUUAGUUGGUGGAGCGAUUUGUCUGGUUAAUUCCAUUAACGAGCGAGACUCCAGCCUAUCAAAUAGAUGCGUGGUUCUCUGCAAUUAGCACCCUUCUUAGAGGGACGAGCGUCUCCUAGCCGCACGAAAGAUAGCAAUAACAGGUCUGUGAUGCCCUUAGAUGUCCGGGGCCGCACGCGCGCUACAGUGAAGAAAGCAGCGCGUUUUUAUCCCUAUUUGUUAAGACAUUAAGCUUAGAAAAAAGUGGCGUGAGCAAAUACAGAGG